This is a long non-coding RNA of Eriocheir sinensis (Chinese mitten crab), 3450 nucleotides long. RefSeq lists it as uncharacterized. The transcript has 2 exons. The record is from RefSeq and is a predicted model, not a curated record. Lineage: Eukaryota; Metazoa; Arthropoda; Malacostraca; Decapoda; Varunidae.
CUCUGUACAUCUAUCAAUUUCCGUAAUCACCAUAAUCAUCUUCGCCAUCCAUUCCUGUUUCUUCUUUAAUCUUGUAUUUUACUUUUCCUCUCAUUCUCUUUUUUUUCUGCUUUUCGUUAUAUAAGUCUUCUCUUUCUCUGCUUCCCCUCCCUGUCUGCUUGCUUGUCUGGUCUGCCUGUCUGUCUGCCUGUCAUUCAAUCUGUCUGUCUCCAUCUAUCUCAGUGUAUAUACAGUUUAGUCUUCUCUCUUCUCUUCUCUUCUCUUUUUCUUUAUUUUCUCUUAUCUCCUUUCCUUUCCUCUCCAUUCUUUUCCUUUUUCUCCUUUCUUUUCAUUUCUUUUUCCUUUCUUUUCCUUUUAUUUCAUAUUUCAUUUUUUUUUCUUUCCUUCUAUUUUCUUCUCUUCACUUCUCCCUCUCACUCUCUUUCUCUCACUGGGCACGAGCUGAGAAGUCCUGGCAGUGGAGGAAGAGGAGGAGGAAGCAGGAGAGAGACGGGAGAUCACUCCAACAUAUUACAAGAUUCCAAGCCCAUUGAAGUCCAUAUGACAAAAGCCUAGAGUAUGUAUAUGCCGAGUUAAGCCCGUCAUCCUGCUUCCUUUAGACUCACGGGCCCCUUUUCAGGCUGGCUGGCCGGCCGUCCUUUCUUGCGCCUUUCUCUCCUCCCUAAGACGGAUUACAUUCCUUCCUCGCCCGCCCGUGUGCUAUUCGUUCCUUGUAUGAUCCUGCUCCCCAGCCAUUCAUGAUCUUGGUGCCCAUUCAUGAUCUUCUUGGUCUUCUUUUUUCGCUUGUCCUUUUUGCUUCCAUUUCGUGUUUUCUUCAUUUUUUUUUCCUUCAUCUUUCAUCUUUCAGCUUAACCGAGACCUUAAAAUAACGGUCAAACAGGUUUUAUUUUUUUUUACAUAAAAGGAGACAGUUCAAGGGCGUGAAAAAAAAAUAAUGAAAAAAAAAGCCCGCUACUUACUGCUCCCGAAUAGUGUACAUAGGAGUGGCCAAAAAGAGACGACGCAGUUUAUACAUCGGCAAGAGUUUUCUUUUCUCGAGUCAUCCGUCACUACAACAACCUUCCUGCAGUAGUAGUUAAAUGGAAAAUCAUAUUGACCGUCGUUACUUUGCUGCAUCAGGAGUGAAAUAAACGAUUAUACACGUACGUACAGAAAGUGCUUCCGCAGAUCACAGUAGCGCCUGACGAGUAUAUUAAAACCCUAAAAUAGGCAGCCUCGUUAUAAGCCAACAGGUGGCGUUUCAGCUCUUUCAUCUUUCCAUCUAUCCUCCUUCCCCUAAAUCCCAUUCCCUUACCAUUCCCUGCCCCUUGCGUCACCCCCCUCCCCCGUCCCACCUGGCCCUCUACCUCUCCCCUCCACCUAUCGCUCCCUCUACCCCCUUUCCCCUAUCCCUCCCCCUCCCUCUCCUCCUUUUCACUUGCAGAAAGACUUAUGAACGCCGUAAAUUAAUAGUCAAAUUGGAAAACGGAAACCUCGUCACACACACACACACACACACACACACACACACACACACACUCACACAGUCACUUGUUUGCUCAACCUCCCCAGCCUCCCUAACCAAGGCCAUGACCGAACACUUACCCGCCCCGUCCCUGACAACCCGACCGAGACAAAAACAUAAAAAGACGGAGAGGAAUGGGAGAAAAUCCAGCCAUGACGUCACUGUGCACUGCAAGUUUUAUGGCGCGGCCAGUGACGCGGAGAGAUAAACACGGGGUAGGUUUUGUGCGGUUGAAAAAUACAUCCCGAGGCAAAACGAAGAAAAGGAUAUUGAGAUGAAGGCGUGGCGGAUCGAUUGACCGUGACUUUGGGAACAGAAGGAAAAAGAAUCAGACAGCCAGCCACAAGAUGAAAAUAACAUAACAACAUAACAAGGCAAAGCAAAGACACUCAAGAACACUCUAGGAAAGAAAAUAUGAUGAAAAUACAUACAGAAGCAAAACGAAGGAAAGAACAUUAAGACGAAAGCGCGGCAGAUCGAUUGACCGUGAGUUUGGGGACAGGAGGAGCAAGGAAAGAUUAUUAAAACAACCAAGACGAGAAGACAAACAUGGAGAAGGUUUUGUGCGGUUGAAAAAUAUAUCCAGAAACAAAACGGAGGAAAGAACAUUGAGACGAAAGCGCGGUAGAUCGAUUGACCGUGAGUUUGGGGACAGGAGGACCAGGGGAAGAUUAUAAGACAACCAUGAAGCGGAGAUACGAACACGGAGCAGGUUUAGGGCGGUUGAAAAAUACAUCCAUAAGCAAAACGAAGAAAAGAAUAUUGAGAUGAAAGCACGGCAGAUCGAUUGGCCGUGAGUUUGAGGAAAAGAGGAACAAAGGGGAUAUUAUUAAAACCACCAUGACGAGAAGACAAACAUGGAGAAGUUUUUGUGCGGUUGAAAAAUACAUCCAGAAACAAAACGAAGGAAAAAACAUUGAGACGAAAGUGCGGCAGAUCGACUGGCCGUGAGUUUGAGGAAAAGAGGAGCAAAGAAAUAUUAAUAAAGACAACCGUGUCGCGGAGACGAACACGGAGCAGGUUUUGGGCAGAUGAAAAAUACAUCCAUAAGCAAAACGAAGAAAAGAAUAUUGAGAUAAAAGCAGAAAAGAUCAAUUGGCCGUGACUUUGGGGACGACAAACAUGAAGAAGGUUUUGUGAGGUUAAAAAAGGCAUCCAGAAGCAAAAGGAAGGAAAGAAUAUUGAGAUGAAAGCGUGGGAGAUCGAUUUGGGGACAGAAGGAGCAAGGGAAAAUUAUCAAGACAACCAGACAGCCAGACGAAAGAUGAAAAUAGCACACCAGGAUAAUAAGGCAAAGCAAACACACUCGCUGACACUCCAGGAAAGAAAAUAUGAUAAAAAAAAAACAUGAAAAAAGUAUUCAAAAGCAACCAGGGGGAAAAACGGCAAUUAAAAAGCAAAGCAGAUCAGUUUACCGUAAUUCAUGGGACAAAAAUCGGCGUAAAAAAUUUAAAAAAUUAUAAUAGGAAAGCAGAAUGUUACAGCUUUUGCAUGUAUUUGGAUUUUGUUUCACUCCUUUGCUGUAGAAAAUGAAUUAAUUAAUGAAUCCCCAGCGGGUGAAUUUGGCCGCGACACAAGAGAAAAAUAAAUAACUAGAUUGAAAGAUAGUUAAGAGUCCAUUAUGACAAAACUAGAGAACGGGUGAAAUCAAACAAAAAUAAAAGAAACACAGAUGGACAGACAUUUACGCCACAAAUAAGAGUUUAAAAAGAUAGACAAAAACGUAGUCAGACUUAAUCAUAUGGAAAAAAAAAAUACCUGAAUAAAAGCGAAGCGGAGAGACUCAUUACCCGUGAAUAUGGGGAGAAAAAAAUCACAGAGUAGAGGAUGAUUAUUCAAAAUGGACCCAAACGCAAAAACACACAAAAUGAGAAAAAAUACGACAAAAAUAAGAUAAAAUAGGACAGAAAAUUAAAAAAACAACGCAAUAGAUAAAAUAAUAACAA